GUCCAGACUCCUACGGGAGGCAGCAGUGGGGGAUAUUGCACAAUGGGGGGAACCCUGAUGCAGCGACGCCGCGUGGGUGAAGGAGCGUUUCGGCGCGUAAAGCCCUAUCGGCAGGGAAGAAGGAGGACGGUACCUGACUAAGAAGCCCCGGCUAACUACGUGCCAGCAGCCGCGGGAAUACGUAGGGGGCAAGCGUUAUCCGGAUUUACUGGGUGUAAAGGGGGCGCAGACGGCGGCGCAAGCCAGGAGUGAAAGCCCGGGGCUCAACCCCGGGACUGCAUUUGGAACUGUGCUGCUAGAGUGUCGGAGAGGCAGGCGGAAUUCCUAGUGUAGCGGUGAAAUGCGUAGAUAUUAGGAGGAGCACCGGCGGCGAAGGCGGCCUGCUGGACCGUAACUGACGUUGAGGCUCGAAAGCGUGGGGAGCAAACAGGAUUAGAUACCCCAGUA
Molecule: ribosomal RNA, 447 nt
Filed under: uncultured bacterium
Lineage: Bacteria
Description: partial 16S ribosomal RNA
Rfam family: Bacterial small subunit ribosomal RNA
Source: RNAcentral